Molecule: ribosomal RNA, 450 nt
Filed under: uncultured Fusibacter sp.
Lineage: Bacteria; Bacillati; Bacillota; Clostridia; Eubacteriales; Fusibacteraceae
Description: bacterial SSU rRNA
Rfam family: Bacterial small subunit ribosomal RNA
Source: RNAcentral
AUGUGGUUUAAUUCGAUGCAACGCGAAGAACCUUACCUGGUCUUGACAUCCCGGAGACCCUUAGGAAACUAGGGGGUGCUUCCAUCUGGAAGAAUCUGGAGACAGGUGCUGCAUGGCUGUCGUCAGCUCGUGUCGUGAGAUGUUGGGUUAAGUCCCGCAACGAGCGCAACCCUUGUGUUUAGUUGCAAACAGGUCAAGCUGUGCACUCUAGACAGACUGCCGUGGACAACACGGAGGAAGGUGGGGAUGACGUCAAAUCAUCAUGCCCCUUAUGAUCUGGGCUACACACGUGCUACAAUGGCCGGUACAACGGGCAGCGAAGGAGCGAUCCGGAGCGAAUCCUAAAAAGCCGGUCCCAGUUCGGAUUGCAGGCUGAAACUCGCCUACAUGAAGUUGGAGUUGCUAGUAAUCGCGAAUCAGAAUGUCGCGGUGAAUGCGUUCCCGGGUCUU